AUUGAACGCUGGCGGCAGGCCUAACACAUGCGAGUCGAACGGUAACAGGAAGCAGCUUGCUGCUUUGCUGACGAGUGGCGGACGGGUGAGUAAUGUCUGGGAAACUGCCCGAUGGAGGGGGAUAACUACUGGAAACGGUAGCUAAUACCGCAUAACGUCGCAAGACCAAAGAGGGGGACCUUAGGGCCUCUUGCCAUCGGAUGUGCCCAGAUGGGAUUAGCUAGUAGGUGGGGUAACGGCUCACCUAGGCGACGAUCCCUAGCUGGUCUGAGAGGAUGACCAGCCACACUGGAACUGAGACACGGUCCAGACUCCUACGGGAGGCAGCAGAGGGGAAUAUUGCACAAUGGGCGCAAGCCUGAUGCAGCCAUGCCGCGUGUAUGAAGAAGGCCUUCGGGUUGUAAAGUACUUUCAGCGGGGAGGAAGGGAGUAAAGUUAAUACCUUUGCUCAUUGACGUUACCCGCAGAAGAAGCACCGGCUAACUCCGUG
RNAcentral lists this ribosomal RNA (490 nucleotides) under uncultured bacterium. Its description in RNAcentral is "partial 16S ribosomal RNA". It matches the Rfam family "Bacterial small subunit ribosomal RNA", at positions 30 to 507 of the family's 1533-position model. The record is from RNAcentral.